UGGAAGACUUGUGAUUUUGUUGUUAUCGUCGUUAUCACGAGCGACAAGUCACAGUCUGCCUCA
This 63-nucleotide microRNA precursor is filed under the name Petromyzon marinus (sea lamprey). RNAcentral's name for it is "Pma-Mir-7-o4_pre stem-loop". Lineage: Eukaryota; Metazoa; Chordata; Hyperoartia; Petromyzontiformes; Petromyzontidae. The record is from RNAcentral.